GCAGCUCAGCGGUUAGAGCACCUGCUUUGCAUGCAGAAGGUCCAGGUUCAAUACCCAGCAGCUCCA
Molecule: non-coding RNA, 66 nt
Organism: Podarcis lilfordi (Lilford's wall lizard)
Lineage: Eukaryota; Metazoa; Chordata; Lepidosauria; Squamata; Lacertidae
Source: the annotation of a GenBank genome assembly